UACGAAGGGGGCUAGCGUUGUUCGGAAUUACUGGGCGUAAAGCGCACGUAGGCGGACUUUUAAGUCAGGGGUGAAAUCCCGGGGCUCAACCCCGGAACUGCCUUUGAUACUGGGAGUCUAGAGUAUGGUAGAGGUGAGUGGAAUACCGAGUGUAGAGGUGGAAUUCGUAGAUAUUCGGUAGAACACCAGUGGCGAAGGCGGCUCACUGGACCAUUACUGACGCUGAGGUGCGAAAGCGUGGGGAGCAAACAGG
RNAcentral lists this ribosomal RNA (253 nucleotides) under uncultured bacterium. Its description in RNAcentral is "partial 16S ribosomal RNA". It matches the Rfam family "Bacterial small subunit ribosomal RNA", at positions 524 to 776 of the family's 1533-position model. The record is from RNAcentral.